RNAcentral lists this non-coding RNA (21 nucleotides) under Arabidopsis thaliana (thale cress). Lineage: Eukaryota; Viridiplantae; Streptophyta; Magnoliopsida; Brassicales; Brassicaceae. The record is from RNAcentral.
CUAUCGUGGGGUCUUGUAACA